RNAcentral lists this long non-coding RNA (30319 nucleotides) under Olea europaea (common olive). RNAcentral's name for it is "long non-coding RNA (OEUR_LNC005355)". Lineage: Eukaryota; Viridiplantae; Streptophyta; Magnoliopsida; Lamiales; Oleaceae. The record is from RNAcentral.
CACUAAAAGAGAAUUUUAUGGGUGAAGAUGAAAUCGUAGUGAGAACUUCGAUCGCCGCCUGUUCGCCUAUCGCAGCAAGUAAGCUUCUUGCAUACGGCUUCAGCGGCGGCUGCGACUGUUGGUGGCAGAUUCUUAAUAUGAUCAUUUCCACGGAUUCCGGGAGCGGAACUUCUUGAAGCCCCACUUCCAUUUCUACUUUCUUUAUUUUUUUUUCUAUUAACUUUGUUUCUGUUGAAUCGUUUUGCGAGCUUCAGCUAACUGUAAGAGAGGAGAAACGAAGGUGUAGGAGUUUGAAAGUUCGGGAAUUUGCACAACAUGGGAUUUCCCGCUUUUAAAGGGAGAGAGACACGAUUGCGACUCGGGAGAGAGAAAAAUGUCCACUUUUCAGAGUUUUUUCUACAUUCAGUGAGCGCCCGUUUAGCAGAUAGUAAAAGGGACGUUAAUUUUCUGGAGAAUGUACGAAAGAAAAAUAAGAAAAAAAUUGGAUUUACGUAAAAUAUUAUUUAGCUCUCGUUUGUUUCUCAUUUUUAGAAAAAUAAAAAUGAAAAAUAUAGUCAUUACGAGCCCCACAUAAGAGAUAGAAAUUCAAAUUUGAUAGCUUGAUGUAAUGGAUAACGAUCAUAUUUUUCAUUUUAAUAAAGAAAUAAUGAGAAUCAAAUAGGGGCUUAUUUAAAAUGUGUAGUUGAUAGAAAGAGAUAUAAAAAUGAAUUAUAAUUUAAUGGAAAAUAAAAAGGGCACAUGAGGGCUAAAAGUGGAGCGAGGACAAAAACGAAAGAUAAAAAAUUACAACUGCAGUCCCUUACAAUUUUAUGCAUUCCCUAUUUGUUUAUCAUUCUUUCAAAACUCUUUUUUUUCAUACUCAUUUUUAACCAUUCAUUAUUACGAUAAAAUAUUCUUCAUGUAGAUUCAAUAUUUUUCUAUUUUUUAAUCACAUAUUUUUUGAAAUUACUAUUUCAAAGCUUAUUAUUCUCAUAAAAACUCAAAAGAAUAACUGUCAAAUAAAGCACGAUUUUUUCUAAAACAGAUGUAACUAAGCAUCGUUUGAGCCCCAUUUUGAAAAAUAUAGUUUGGAAUAUUGAUUUUUUAAAAAUAUAUAUGGUUGAGAAAUAGAAAAAAAAAUUGAAUUUACUCGUAAAAUUAUUUUAUAGAAAACUGUGAGACUAAAAAUGAAUUCUGAAAAAAUAAAUUUUGAAAAGAUGGAUCUCAAAAUAGUGACUAAACAAUACAAUUGUUAAAAAGGCAUGAAUCAAGGUCAAUCUUCAAGAUUAACGAGUCCGAACGUAAAAAAGACGUUUAUCAAAUAAAUAAAAAAUAAUAAUUGUAGUCAUGGUUGCCCUCCUUUGGCCCUCAUUUUGUGAAAAUGAAAAUGGUUGAAAUAGUUUUUUUUUUUUUAAAUAACUGGUUAAAAAAGAAAGAAAAAUAUUUGAUUUACGUGUAAUAUUAUUUUAUGGGAGAUUGUGUGGUUGAAAAUAAGAAAGAAAAAAAUGUAAUGUAAUAUAAUAGAAAUUAAUGGGGAUCAAUUUUGUAGCUUUUGUAAUAACCUUUUAUUAAUUACAAUCAUGAUCCCAAACCUUUUAUGUGUGCACGGCUGGAAGACAAAUUGGUAAAAUUCAUCCAAAUUACAGUAGAAGGAUAAAAUGAUGAAAAAUGCUUGAGGUACAAAACGGUGUACAAAGCUGUGUCCAAAAUGGACACCCAGUGCCUCGGCAUUGGUCGAGGCUCUUGCCGGGGCCCGCAAGAGCCUCGACCAAUGCCAAGGAUCCGUGUGUCCAUUUUGGACACCCUUUUGUACCCAUAGCAAAACGUUUUGUACCCAAAGCAAAACCGGAAUAUAAUAGCUUCACAUUUUUCUACAUAAAAAAUAAAGUAAUUAAAAAAAAAAACUCAGAAGAUAUAGGGGCUGUUUGAGAGCUAUUUUUAUGUAAAAAAUGCAUUUUAGAAUAGUAACUUGAUGAGAAGUGUGUAGUUGAAAAAUAAGGAAAUUUUUUUUAUUUACGUGUAAUAUUAUUUUAAUAAAGAAUGUGUAGUUGAAAAGAAGAGAGAGAAAAAUGCAUUUUAAAAAAAAAAUGGGUACCAAACGGGGGCAUAAAAGAAGUUCUUUUUCUCCCGGCCCCACCACCGAACCACACCGCAGCCACCAUCACCACCUCUGCAAUCGCCUUCUUCCCCAGCCCAUCUUCCUUUUUCUCCAUAUUCUCCCACCAAAUCGAAUCAAAAUCCCAAUCUGCAAUGAAGCAAACAUUUUCUUCGUAAAUGGUUGCAAAUCCGUAAAAUGCUUUUCUAGCUAUAAAUCUUACAGAGCCAGCAAUGGCUUUUGUAAGAUAAACUUCAAAUUUUUCAGGCUUCCUUUUGUUUUAUAAUUGUUUAGAUUUCCGAUGGUUCCUUAUUUUCGGAGUUCAGAAUUCAUCUGACAGCAAUCCAAUUUCAGACCUUAAUAAUUUCUUCAUUGCCUUUCUUAGUUGUUUAUAAUAAUUAUACUACGGUGCACUUGCAAAUGCACAAACCUAAUAGAGGAGUGUUGGGUGAGGAUUUUAAUCCAAUUAAAAUUAAUUUUUUUUUAUCAUUAUUUUACAAUUUUAAUCAUCAUUUUUUAAUUAUUUUCUCACACAUGCCCACUUUUAUCUCUAACGAUCAAAAAAUCAACUCUCAAAAUCCCGACCAAACACCUCUUAAGUAAUCAAAGUUACAGGAAAAUAAAUGUGAUAUUAGUGGCUUUGAAGGGUUCUUAAAUUCAAAAAACUUGAGUUUGACUUAAAAAAACCUUUUUUUUUUUUUUUAUUAUUUGUGCUUCGGUUCUUGUAGUUUAUUGUUACAAGAUGACAGGAAUCCACAUUUCUGUUUUAUUCAACGACUGAAUAGGUUGGGGAUAAGUUUUGAUUAUGUUAGGUAUUGAAGUCGUUCCCACCCUAGAGCCUGAUUGAUUGAACCCCAUUUUGGGUCUGAUUGAUUUCCAUUUUUUGGUCACAAAAAUAAAAAAUAUGACCCUUAACUAUCACAUCAAGUUACCAUAUUUGACUUUCUAUCUUUUGUAUGGUCCCAUAAUGACUAUAUUUUUUAUUCUCAUUCUUACAAAAAUGGUACAAACUCUUUAUUUUUUUAAAAUUAAAUAGUAGAUUGACGAAGAACGUGUGGAAGAAAAAUAAGAAAAAAUUUUGAAUUUGUGAAUUUUAUUGAAAAAUGUGUAAUUAAAAAAAAUAGAUGAAUAAAUGUAUUUUAAAAAUAACGAGAUCAAACCAUGGCUUAAUCUUUGAUAAUCCAAUAGGUUGAAUACUUCUUUUAUCAAUUUAUUUCACUCAAUAUACUCUUGCAUAAAGGAACCCCAUAGCGUGCCACUCCUUGCUCCCAUCUUUAGAAGUCGCAAUAGUGGGUCAAUUAAGCGAGAUAAUCUUCAGUCUAAAAAUUCUUCUCAGUUAAUCACAUAUAAUUGACACGCGAGUGGCCCACCAUUGUCAGUCUACUUUGUUCCUGUAAGAUAAGCUAGUGCAUUUUUGUUGUUGUUGACAGGGAAUAAUCACAGUAUUUAUGUAAGGGAUGGUACCAUAAGAGACUAGUACAGAAAGUUUUCACAAAAUUCUUUUACAGAUAAUUUAUGGCACGGGUGUUGUCAAUGCAUCAUAUGCAAAAAAUUGUCAACCAUUUCCCGUACUCAAGGAUUUAUCCUUAUGAAAAUUGUUGAAAUGAAUUAGCGCUGUGAACUUCAUUGUAUUAAUGAUAAUUAAUGAACCUCUUGAACGGUUUUGAUCGAUAUGGAGGACGAUCCAAACAUCAACAACUUCAAAAAUAACAUGGCAUCCAAGAAGGAUGAUAUAUUGUAUGAAAAUAUUGUGACUGAAGGAAUUGAAAUAAGUUGCGUUGAGAGGAAAACUCGAUAGGAAGAAGAUGGAGGAACUGAUUGGGAACAACAUGAGGACACUGAGGUCAAUGAAUUGAAAUAUACAUAUAAAUAUAUCUGAUAAAUUUUUAAUUGCUCAUAAGUUAUAAGUUAUGUAUUUUACAAAAAUGUGUGAAUAAUAAAUUAUAUUAAGACGUGAUCAUAUAAAAUAUGUCCUUAUUUGAUCCCCAUUAUUUUCAAAAUACAUUUUUAUCUCUUUUUUUUUAAUUACACAUUCUUCAAUGAAAUUAUUUUACAUGUGGAUUUAAAACUUUUUCUUAUUUUUUAACUACACAUUAACGUCGAUCUACUAUUACAAAAUGAAUUCUACACUAAAAUGGGGCUCAAACGGGGUGUAUAUGAAUAAAAAAUAUAUCUAGACUCCAUUAUUUCAAAUUAUAACAAAAAAAAUAGUAAUUUUAUAAGAAUAUGUGGUUAAAAAGAAAUAAAUUUUUUUUAGAUUUAUGUGUAAUAUUAUUUUGCUAAAAAGUGUGUGAAUUUUAAUUUAAAGAGAGCCAAAUUGGGGCUAACUGAAAUUACAUUUGGCAAACAUGCUAAGCCUUAAUUAUUAAUUUUUAAAAAAGUAAACUUGACGACUUUCAAGUCUGGACCCUUUUGGAAAAAUAUUUUAAGUUGGGCUAUUUUUACUUUGCACGCGAAAGACUAAAGAGGGGCUUUAGAAACAAUUGCCAUAUUCUUUACUUUAAUGUUCCUUAAAGCAGAGUAAUACAGUAGUGCAUCUAAGGUUAUCUUCAAUCCUGCACCAAAUUUUGCCCUAUUUUGUACCAAAUUUUACAUCAGAUCUUGCAUCAAACUAAAAUUCAUCUCCAACCAUUAUACCAAAUGAACAGUAUUUAACCAAUUUCUUCCCUUUUUUAUUCUUUAUAAUUUAUUUAUUUGAAAUAUUAUUUAUUUAAUUAUUUUAUAAAUACAUAAAUUACUAAAUAAAUAAUUACGUUAAAUUACGGAAAAGAUUAAAUUCAUUGAUAAAUAUAAAAAACACGGAACAAUUAAUAAAAACACUACAACAACGAAAAUAUGAAAUCAAAUUAGAUUAUCGUAUAUAUAUCGUUGUUUAAUAUAUUUUGUGUUAAUUUUAAUAAAUAAUCGUGUUUGUUGUAUUUUAAAUUGUUUUCGUCUUUUAAUUAAUUUAUAAAUUUAUUUUAAAUGCAAAUGGUGCAAUGGUGUUACCAUUGGAGAUGCCCUAAUGGUAUGGUGAUAUGAAGGAUCCUUCCAGCUUUUGAAAUCAAAUUGCACCGAAAGAUAAUUAGCACAAAAUCCUUGAUUGACGGGGAUUAAAAUCUAAUUUUCAGUAAAAUGUGUGAUUAAAAUUAAUUGUUGAUUUUGAUUUGAAUUAAAAUUUUGAUUUUUAGCCCCUAUUUGUUUCUCAUUAAAAUGAAAAAUAUGACUGUUAUCUAUCACAUCAAGCCACCAAAUUUGAAUUUACAUCUCUUGUAUGGUGUUCAUAACGGCUAUAUUUUUCAUUCUCAUUCUUAUGAAAAUGAGAAACAAACGGGACCUUAGUAGCACCAAACAGGGGCAAAAUGUUUUUAUCGUUUUCACUCAUUGCACAAAUCUUUUGUAUCAUUUUAAAUUUUAUAUUUAAACCAUUGUUUUAAUUUUUUCUCGUGGAAUUGGUAAUUUUCAUCUCAUUUAGCCCUUGUUUGAGCUCCAUUAUUUUCAUCAAAAUACAUUAUUCAACGGUGAUUUUACUCAUUUCAGCCACACAUUCUUCAUUAAAAUAGUAUUACACACAAAUUCAAAAAUUUUUUUUAUUUUUUAACCACAUAUUUUCUAUCAAUAUACUAUUCAAAAAUACAUUUUUUUACAAGAAUAAGCCUCAAACAAGGGCUUAGUCAAUUCGUUCCUUCAAAUAUAGCCCCGUUUGGUAGCCAUUUUUUUUCAAAAUACAUUUUUCUCUCUGUUCUUGUCAACCACACAUUCUUUAUUAAAAUAAUAUUAUACGUAAAUAAAAAAAAUUUUAUUUUUCAACCACACAUUUCACAUUAAUUUACUAUUCUAAAAUGUAUUUUUACAUAAAAAUGUCUAUCAAAUACCCCUAUAGGUUAUUGAUCCUUAUCAUUAUUUUAAAGCUUACUUUUUUUUCAAGAAAAAUAGGGUUGAAAAAAAGGGUUCAAACAACCAGGAAAAUAAUCGCAUAAUUUUCUUAUGAGUGGAUUAUGCUUUUUGUUAGUGCAGCUUAAAAGAUGAUUGAUUGCUUUUUUCUUUCUUUUGUCUAAUAAUUGCAUAUUCAAAUGCAUCUAUUAUUGUACUUUUAUCUUCUUCUUUAGCAAUCUUCUUAUGAAAGUUUUGUAAAACUAACGUCAAUCCCGUGGUGCAGCCAUGAUCCUCUACCAUUAUCUUAAUAUAUGUAAUCCAGUAACAUAUAUCUUCUUUUUGGGUUACAUUUUAUUCAAAAUAUAUUUUUAUAUCUCUUCUUUUCAAUCACACAUUUUUUAAUAAAAUAAUAUUACAUAUAAAUUCAAAUCUUUCCUUUUUUUAACCAAACAUUUUGGAAAAAAAAAAAAAGCAAUCUUCUUAUGAAAGUUUUGUAAAACUAACGUCAAUCCCGUGGUGCAGCCAUGAUCCUCUACCAUUAUCUUAAUAUAUGUAAUCCAGUAACAUAUAUCUUCUUUUUGGGUUACAUUUUAUUCAAAAUAUAUUUUUAUAUCUCUUCUUUUCAAUCACACAUUUUUUAAUAAAAUAAUAUUACAUAUAAAUUCAAAUCUUUCCUUUUUUUAACCAAACAUUUUGGAAAAAAAAAAAGAAUAAAAAAUAAAAAGUGUCCUUUAAAAAAUAGUAAAAGGAUGUAUUUUUCGAUUUUUUGGACAAAAAUAUGGCUUUUGUCUAGUUAUCCUUCCAAGAAAUAUAGUAAUCUUGUUAUUCAAAAUCAAUUUGGAUAAAUUUGGAUGAAUUAAGGAUAUCAAAAUCAAAAGGGGAAAUAAUGCCAUAUAUAUGGCUUAUAUGAAUGCAUAAGCCUUUCAGACCUACAUUUGCAUGUGGCUCUUCAAAGCCUAACAAGGCGGCCCAAAUUAUAGUAUAGCCAUGCGGUCGCAUAGUGUUAAAAUCUAGCCAUUGGUUGGAUCUUUUUAGAAUUUUCUAGUGGUUUUCUUGGUGAAUCAUUGCACCUCUUCUUUUUGAGUUGGAACCACUUCAUGUAGGGAUGAACGAAAACUAUAAAGACAUGAUAGUAUUCAUCCCUAAACAUAUGAAAAAUCAUUUUACCAUUCAUCCAACCAAUUAAAGAAAUCAUUGAUCCUUUACAUAUUCAAAGUCUUGUUUUCACUUGUUCAUUUGAAGAAUUACUUUGCUUUUGGUAUUAAGGCUUGAUAAAUCCUACAAGCUAUUUGAUAUUUAAUCCUUUAGAAGUAUCUUUGAGAGGAGGCAAAUAUCGUUUGAGGACGACGAUUUUUUCAUGUCGAAGUCUUCAUCAUUUUUUACAUUAAUUUUUUAUCCUUGUAAUAUUCUCCUACUUUUUCCUCCAUUGUUGUAAUUUUUCCAACAAUCUCAAACGAUAUCCUUCUUUUUACUGCAAUGGAGACGAAAACUACACUUGCUACCAUAAAGUUGAUGAACCAAGAUUUGGUGCGCUUAGAUAGAUUUGAUAGGUCAAACUUCACAAGAUGGCAGAACAAACUCAAAUUCCUUCAACGACAUUAAAAAUCUCCUAUAUGCUUGGUCCAAACCUAGAACCAAUUUCUGAUGCAACAAAAAAAGAAGGAAGGACAAGUAAACUCCACUAAUGAGAUUAUCGCGAUAGUAAGCGAAAUCAACACAAUACAAAGCAAAGUUCCAGAUUGGUGGUAUGACACUUGUGCAACUAUCCAUGUUUGUUAUGACAAGUCUCUUUUCAAAACUUAUCAUGACAUUAAAGAUGGUCAAGAAAUCCAAAUGAAAAUGAAGAUCUAAAGUGAUUGACAAAGAUAAUGUAGAAAUCAUUUUCACUUCAAAAAAGAAGAUCACUUUGACAAAUAUCCUCUAUGUACCAUAAAUGAAUAGAAACUUAACAAGUGGAGUCUUAUUAGAAAAAUCAAGAAUUAAAUUUGCUUUUGAGUAUGGAAAACUUAAUGCGUAUUUUGUUGGAAAAUGCUAUUCUACUGAGGAGUUAGAAUUAUGAAAAAAUUAAAACUCUUGAGAAUAACUCUAAUAAAAUUAAAUCUUUUGCUUAUGUUAUUAAUUCAUUUAAUUUAUGGUAUUAUAGAUUAGAGUAUAUAGGAGUUAGAACUAUGAAAAAAUGGUUAAAUGUGGAUUAAUACAACGUGAAGUUGAUAACUUAGAAAAAUGUGAAACAUGUAUUAAAUAAAAAAAUAUUAAAAAGCUAUUUCAUAGUGUAGUAAGAUCAACAAACUUACUUGAACUCGUUCAUCCCGAUAUAUGUGAACUAAAUGACACGUUAACAAGAGGCUGUAAUAGCUAUUUUAUUACUUUCAUUGAUAAUUGCUCUAGGUAUACUUACGUAUAUUUGUUAAAGCUUAAAUAUGAAGUCCUUAGUGCUUUUAAAACAUAUAAAGUUGAAGUUGAAAAUAAAUUAGGAAAGAAACUAAAAAUUCUCAAAGGUGGGGAAUACUUAUAUAAUGAAUUCAAUAUGUUUUGUGGAUAAAAUGGAAUAAUACAUCAAUAUUCAGCAUCACGAACAUCAGAACAAAAUAGUCUAACAGAAAAAAAAAUAGAAUAGAACAUUCUUAGAGAUGAUAAAUGCUAUGUUAUUGAAUUCUGAAUUAAUAUUCAAUUUAUGGAGUGAAGCCUUACUUAGUGCUUGUCAUAUAGUAAAUAUGAUUCCUUUUAAAAAGAAUAAGAUCUCUCCAUAUGAAACAUGGAAAUGAAGUAAACCAAAUAUUAACUAUUGUAAAGUGUGGGGGUGUCUUACUUAUUAUAAGAAUACUAAUCCCAUGAGAAUUAAAUUAGGUCCUAAAGAUAUCAAAUGUGCCUUUGUGGAGUUUUUUGAAAUGUAUUAGUAGCAAAAAAAAUCUCAAAACAAUGGAGAUAAUCUGAAUUCUAGAGAAUUACAAGAAGGGACGUCUACGAGAGACGUUGAAAGUGAACCCUGAAGAAGUAAGAGAACCAGAAAAGAAAAAUAUCUAGAUUUAGAUUAGAUAGAUUCCCAACACAUUUCUUUCUACUUAAUAGAGGGAGAUAGGAAGGACGUUGUAAGAACAAUUGAUUUUGUCAUUCAAGUUCAAGUGUUCUUAAAAUCUAUAAGGAAACAUUGUCUUAUAGAGAUUGUAUAUUCUAGAAAGAAGCUGUAAAUGAUGAAAUGGAUUCUAUUAUAUCAAAUAACACUUGGAAAAUAGUUGAUGGAAUACUCAAUACCUGUAAAGUCAAAUUAGUGGUUAAAGGAUAUCAGUAAAAAGAAUGAAUAGAUUACUUUGACACAUAUGCGCCAGUGGCCAGGAUAACCUCGAUAAGGAUUUUGUUUGCAUUAACAUUAAUUUAUGGUUUAAAUGUUUAUCAAAUGAAUAUCAAGACGGCAUUCUUAAAUGAAUAUUUCAAAGUGGAAGUUUAUAUGGAACAACCGAAAGGUUUUGUUCUACCAGGAAAUGAACAUAAGGUAUGGAAAAUAAUCAAGUCCUUAUAUGGAUUAAAACAAAUCCCUGAGAAGUGGCAUGAGAAAUUUAACUCUGAAAUAAUGUCGAAUGAUUUUAAUCAUAAUUUGGUAGACAAAUGUCAUUACACUAAAGUAAAUAAUUGUAUAAUUACAUUAAUAUGUAUAUAUAUAUAUAUAGAUGUCAUGUUGAUCAUCAGCUACAAUGUAGAUGGGAUUAAAGAAAUAGAGAGAUUUAUGUCCUCCCCAUUCAAAAUGAACGAUCACUUGAAUGUCAAAGAACUAAUACCCCUUUGGAUCCAAGUAUCAAGUUGAUGAAAAAUGAUGGAAAAGCAAUAACUCAAAUAGAAUAUGCAAGUGCAAUUGAAAGUCUCAUGUACGCGGCACAAUAUACAAGACCAUUUGCUGUGAAUAAACUAAGUAGGUUUACUAACAAUCCAAGUUCCGAACAUUGAAAGGCCAUCAGUAGAGUUCUUGGUUAUUUAAAGAUAAUCAAAACAUGGGACUACAAUGUACAAAGUUCCCUACUAUCUGAGAAUGAUAUAUUGAUACUAGUUGGAUAUCAAGUGCUAAAGAGAAUAAGUUUACUUCAGGUUGGAUAUUUACUUUUUUGAGGGGAUACAGUUUCUUGGAAAUCUAAUAAACAAACAUAUAUUACUCAAUCAACUAUGGAGUCAGAAUUUGUAGCAUUGGCCAAAACUGAAAAAGAAGUUGAGUGGCUAAGAGACCUAUUAUAUGAAAUACCUUUAGAUAUAAAAGAUAUUUCCUCAAUACCUUUCUUGUGCUAUAGUCAAGCUACUCUAACUCAGACAUAUAGUGAAGCAUAUAAUGGAAAAUCUAAACAUAUAAGUCUAAAACAUGUAAGUCUAAGACAUGAGCAUGUGAGAAAAUUAAUCAAGCACGGAAUAAUUUCUCUUACAUACGUUAAAUCUAGCGAAAACUUAGUUGAUCCGUUAACUAAACCUAUUACAAGAGAGUUAGUAAGAUUAACAUCAAGUAGGAUGGGGUUGAAAUUCCUUAAUUAAAUUCACCAAUGAUGACAACCCUACCAAAGAUAUACUAAACAAGUAUAUUUAGAUUCAAAUGGUAAUAAUAAAUCAUUCGAUAAGUUGAUAGAUUUCAACACCAGUAAAAUUAUUAAACAUAUCCUUGGUAAAUAGUGUUGGUUGUUACAGUUGGAGGGGUAAGUUAUAAAAAUUCUUAAUGAAGAUCAGUACGGGGUACAAAUAUCUUUAAAAAUAACAAAGAUAUUAGAAGAACUUUAUCUAUGUGAACUUCAAGGUGGUGUCGCCUCAAUAGAGGUUAGAGUUCUUUCUUUAAAAAUUCAAUGAAAAAGGAUAAAGUGCAAUGUCAUAUUAGCAUUAAGGAGGUUAAAGGAACUUGUGGAAAUUUAACACUUAUGUGUGUGAUUUCAUCAGUAUUAUCACAAGAAAUAAACUGGUUUAAAGCUCUCUAGCUACCUAGAAUUUCGAUAUGCUUUGUGAAAUUUUCACUAUGGUUAGAUUCAAGUUGAAAGAUAUCUAAUCCUUAUACAGCAGUGUUGAUAUUUAAAUAUGUGAUUAACAUUGAGGAUUUUAGGCUUGCUAUCGCAUGUGACUCUUUAGAGCCUAACGAGGUAGCCCAAGUUAUAGCUAUGCGACCGCAUAAACUAUAGUGUGAAAAUCUAGCUGUCGAAUUUCUAAUGAUUUUUUUGGUGAAUCAUUGCACCACUUUUUUUUGAGUUGGAACCACUUUGUGCCAGGAUGAACAAAAACUAUUAAUACAUGAUAGUAUUCAUUCCUAAACAUACGAAAAAUCAUUUUACUAUUCAUCCAACCAAUUGAAGAAAUCAUUGAUCCUUCACAUAUUCAAAGCCUUGUUUUCACUUAUUCAUUUGAACGAUUACUUUGCUUUUGGUAUUCUUCUUUAAGGUUUGAUAAAUCCUACAACAAUUUGCUACUUUAAUCCUUUAAAAGUAUCGUUGAAAGAAGGCAAAUAUUAUUUGAGGACGGUGAUUUUUUGUGGUCAAGUCUUCUUCAUUUUUCACAUAAAUUUUUUUAUCCUUGUAAUCUUCUCCUACUUUUCCCUCCAUUGCUGUAAUUUUUCCAACAAGAAAUGGUUCCAAAAAAAUUGAAUAAAAAAAGUCACACAAUGGCUCCAAAAAGACUGGAAAAAAAUUUAGAAAAAAACAAAAUCAUAAGAAGGGGCGUGCCUUGUGGUUUUUAGUUCUUCGUUUAAUUGUUAUUUUCUAUGCCUUGACCUCAUUUGUAGCAUUUUUGAAAAUAUCUCAUGCCUAGACAGUCGAGGCGGCAAUUUUUCAUGCCUUAUUAAAAUAUAUCAAGAAACUAUGGAAUUUCGGCAAAUUGUUGCCCAUUAUUGAAAUAUCUUUUUUUAAGAUGCGUUUGAUUGUCAAUAUUUUUCAUGGAAAGUGUGUUUUUCCAUCCAAAUUUUUACUUUUUUACACUGUUUGAUUGACAUUUUUUUUAUAGAAUACAUUUUCCUACAUUUGGUCACGUGACCAUAUUUUAAAACCUCAAAAUUAAGGAAAAUACUUUCUUUGAGGCGAGUAAGAUUUUAUUUUCCAAGUAAUUCAUUCUCUCUUUCUCUCUCUCAUUUAUCCACUUUUUACCAUUAAUAAAAAAUAGACAAUUAUAAUAUUUUCUAGGUUGAAAAAUAAAUAAAUCAAACACAUUUAAUUGACAAUUUCCAUGCAAAUAAAUUCAAUUGUUUAGAAUUUAUAUUCUUUCCAUGCAAAUUCGAUACUUGUAAUCAAACACACCCUUAUUGUACAACUCACUCAAUUUUUUAAUGGUUACACUGAUGAUCAUACAAUCACAAAUGUUUAUUUAAAAUUCUGUGUCACUAUAAAUUUCAAUAUGGACAAAAAACAAUGUUAACUAGUAUGCAACGUAAGAUAAAGUCGUGUUUCAUUAAUAAAUGCACAAUUGACAAAAAAACAUGUUCCUCGCAUUUAUUCUAUUUCAAUAAAUCACGACUUUGUCCUACAAGAUGUACAAUUUGACAGCUUUUGUGUCGACGUUGGAAUUUUACAAGUGACUCAUAGAUUUAUGUUAAUCGAUGGGAGCUUAAAACCAUUUCCUUUCCUAAACUCAUAGGUAUCGAGGACUAAUAUCGAACAAAUAUGACGAAAACAUUUUCAACAAUUACACCUUUAUUUAAUGAAACACAAUACAAUUUUGUCUAAAAAGACGUACUAGUUUAACAUUUUGCGUCCAUGUUGAAAUUCAAGAGUGACACAUAAGAGUUAAGGUUAAUAUUUUCGGCCGAGUGACCACUAGUGUAACCAAUAAAACAUGAGUGACUCGGGGUAAAAAAUUACUUGAUUGACUAUUCAAUAUUUUAACAAACCUCGAUAAUUGUUGCUAAAUAGAACAUCCCUUUCAUUUGUAAUAAUGAAAAUCUAGGCUCACCAAUACUUCAAUAUACUAAAAUGCAUCUUAACUUAAGUUCAGAUGGACUAGCUCGACCUAAACUAAUGUUAAGUAACAUUACUCUAUUCAUUUUCCAUGUGGAGCUAAUCUAGGAAAGAAUGUCACAACGUGAAAUUGUACCAAAAAUAAAUUCACCAUUAAAGCUUAUGUUAUUCUAUGUAUUAAAAAAAAAAACGUUACUCUUUCUACUCUCCUCUCACUUUUUACCCUCUUCCAUUUGGUCUCUAUUUCGGUCUUGUAAAAUACAAAACAAUGGUCUUCGUACUCGUCUACUUUCUUCCUUUCUCAUUUAUCUCGAAGUGUAAAAAUGUGUUGAACUGUCAAGGCUCGAACCACCCAACACCAUAAAAAUGUGCCCUGCUAUUGGGCACAACUAUAGGAUCCGUCGCCCGCCCAAACCGUGGCAACCAGAUGCGGUAGUGCACACUCAACAAAUGCAUCACCAUUUGAUAUAAAUGGAAUUUUCAACAAAACAUAUAAAUAAUGCAAAUAGAAAAUUUAAAAAUACAUUUAAUUGCAACGCCGGUGUGUAGUUGUGGCGGUGGUUGUGAUAAUUUUGAAUAUGAUUUUUGGUGAUGUUUGGGUGGAGUGAUUGUGGUGUUGAGGUGCUAGGGAUAUUGGCAAUGCUGGGGAUGUGGCGGUAGUUGGGAGAAAUUUUUAUUUUUUAUUUUUUCAAUUUUUUUGGGUGACGAUUUUGUCGGUGGUUGGGCGGCAAUUGUGAUUUUGCGAGGUCUGAUGGUGGUAAGGUGAUAGUGAUGGUCGUAGGUGGGAUGAGAUUGGGUAGGAUGCUUGUGACCAAUUAUUUAGUUGAUAGUAACUAAUAAUCGGUUAAUUUGUAAUAUAUGAACUAAAAAUAGUGACUGCAACUCAAAAUUGAUUAAGUUGUGAUCGAAAAAUGAAUCGUGACUAAUUUAUCUAAUAAUUUGCAAAGAAUAAAUGAGUUGUGGCUAAUAAAAGUUUUGAUUUUGUGACUGAUGAAUAAUCUGUAACCUAUAAAUUUUUUGAUUUGUGACCGAGAAAUAAGUUGUGAUCAAUAAUUAAUCUGUGAUUUAUUAAUUAAAUAAAUGUGACCACAUUAUAUAGAUUUGUGACAUUAAUAUAUUUAAUUAUAAAAUAUAUGUUUAAUAAAUUAAUUUAAAAAUAUCUUAUUUUAUAAAUUUAAAAUGUGUCAUACUUAAUCUUUUAUUUAUGAUUUUUUCCCUAUUAUAAUUGACACACGGGUUGCCCUAAAAUAAAACUAGUGUAUUUUCGUUGUAAUUGAAAGGGAAUAAUUCACAGUAUUUUUUGUAAGCGGUGGUACUAUAAGUACAGAAUGUUUUCACAAUUUUUUUUUGACAAAUAAUUCAUGGCACAGUUUCAUUGGAAAAUGAAAAAAGAAAUAAAUUGGGGCCAAGUGUUGCCAAUGCAGCAUAUGUAAAAACAUUGUCAACCAUUCCCUGUUCACACAGGGAAUUAUCCUUACGAAAAUUGUUGAAAUGAAUUAGCAUUUUGAACUUCAUUGAAUUAAUGAUAAUUAAUGAACAUCUUGAACCUUUUUUUUUUUUUUUUUAAGACGAGAGAACCCACAAUCGCUACAUUUUGGAUGCGUACUGAGUAAACCCUCAGGUUGACCCAAUUGCUUGCAAACCACGCCAGCCAGGUAAAUCGCAUUAGGCAAGCCCUGUGCGACAGGUUCGACCAAACAUCUUCUACGAUUUUGAUCAAUAUAGAGGAUGAUCCAGACUUCAACAAUUUCGAAAACAUGGUGUCUGAGAAGGAUGAUAUAUUGUAUGUAAAUAAUGUGAUCGAAUGAAUUAACAUAAGUUGCGUUGAGAGCGAAACUCGACGGGAAGAAGAUGGAGGAACAGAUUGGGAGCAACAUGAGGACACUGAGGUCGAUGUAUUGAAAUAUAAAUAUAAAUAUAAUUAUAAUUAUAUUUAAUAUUUUUUAGUUGCUUAUAAAUUAUGGUUCUUACAAAAAUGUGUGAAUAAUAAAUGAUAUUAAGCCCUUGUUUGAGCCCCAUUUUAUUGGAAAGAAUGCAUUUUUAAAUAGUGAUUGAUAGAUAAUGUGUGGUUAAAAAUUAAAAAAAAGUUUUAGGUUUGCAUAUAAUAUUAUUUUUUUUAAAAAUAUGUUGUUGAAAAUGAGUUUUGAAAAAAUGGGGCUCAAACAAGGGUUAAGUCUUGACCAUAUAAAAUAUGCCCUUAUUUGAUUAUCAUUAUUUUCAAAAUAUAUUUUUAUCUCUCUUCUUUUUAACUACACAUUCUUCAAUGAAAUAAUAUUACGUGUGGAUUUAAAACUUUUUCUUAUUUUUAACCACACAUUCACCGUCAAUCUAUUAUUCCAAAAUGCAUUCUACAUAAAAAGAAAAAAUGGGGUGUAUAUGAAUAAAAAAUAUGUUUGGGCUCCAUUAUUUCAUAUUAUAAUAAAAACAAUAGUAAUUUUUUUUUUUUUUUAAGAAUGUGUGGUUAAAAAGAAAUGAAAAAGUUUUUAAGUUUACGUAUAACAUAAUUUUAUUGAAAAAUGUGUGAAUUUUAAUUUAAUGGGGUCAAGUUGGGGCUAACUGAAAAUGACUUUGUUAUAGGUACAUUAAGGGAGCCAUAAGGGUGUCCAUAAUGGACACCCGGCGGCUCCCUGUUGGAGAGGGCGCUAGCCCACGGCAUCCCUUCCAAUAGGGGGCCGUCAGGAAUGGACACCCUUAUGGUUCCCUUAAUGUACAACAAGAAUUAUCUAACUGAAAUUACAAUUGGCAAACAUGCUAAGCCUUAAUGAUUCAUUUUUACGAAAGUAAACUUGACAACUUUCAAGUCGGGACCUUUUUGGAAAAAUAUUUUAAGUUGGCUAUUUUUACUUUGUAUGCGAAAAGAGGGCCUUUACAAACAAGACAAUUGCCAUAUUCUUUACUUUUAGAGCCUGCUUGGGAGUUUCGGGGUAGCGGUUACGAGCGUUUUUUAAAGUACCGAUUUUGAGCAUUUAUGAGCGGAUCGAUUUUGGGUGGUUUUUAGUAGCAGUUCUUAAAACGCUCCAACCCAUGCUUGGGAGUUCGUUAUCCACCGGUUCUAAAAGACGUUUUAAGAAAUAAAAUUACAUAUAUACCCAUCACUUUAUUGAUAGAAUCUUUCUUGUUUAACAUUACAAACUUUUGGUAAAUAUCACAGUUCAAAUCUUCUGCUAUUCAAAUAAUGGCUCCACAGUCCACAGGCCACAAAAAUUGAAUGGGUACCACAUUAUAAAUUUUAAUCAAAAUCACCUGUCAUUUUUCCAAUUCUCUGUUACAUUCCACAAAAUUAUAGAUAAUCAGCAAAAACAAAAUUGAAUAGCAACAUCUGCAGCCGUUCUCUGUUAUUUUUCCAAUUCUCUGUUACAUUCCACAGAAUGGAUUAGGAAGUAAUUGCCACAUCUACAGCCGUUCGAAAGCUCAAAAAAAUCAUCAACCUCUUCGAUUGACAGAUCCUCUAAUCUGAUAUCUUCAGCAGUUGCAGAAUCUUGCCUCGAAGAUUGCAGCUCGUUAUCAUAAAAAGCACGAGAUUUUGAAUCUCCGAGGACUUCCCAAGCCCUCUGUACCUCUAAAAACCUUCUGCCCAACUCGUUUGCAGGAUUUGAUGUUUGGGAUGUCGUUUGCAUUUUAUCUGCAAUUCACAGUUGAAGCUUCUGCUGUUGUUUUUCUUCCUCCUGCUUUGGAAGAGUUGAUGUAUAAGAUUUUGGAAGGCUUGGCAAUGAUUAUUUUAAAGAGGGUAAACUUGGAAGAUAAUUUAAGAAACGGUCAAAACCCGCCGAUUUGGGGAGUUGGGAGAAACGCUCAAAAUUGAGCUACACCGAUUUUGGGAGUUUUUUAAACCGUACAUAACCGGUGCUCAAACAAACUCAUAAGCACCGGUUCUACGAAACGCUCAUAAACGGUACCAACCAAAACCGGUGGAAAAAAAACUCCCAAGCAGGCCCUUAAUGUUCCUUAAAGCAGAGCAAUACAACAGGGCAUCCGAUGGUAUAGUGAUACGAAGGAUCCUUCUGGCUUUUUUAGUAAUUGCACCAAAAGAUAAUUAGCAAAAAGUCGUCGAUUGGUGGGGAUUAAAAUCGAAUUUUCAGUAAAUUUUGAUAGAAAUUGAUGAAUUUAUGGUUGAAAAGUUGUGGAUUCCAUAAAAUGUAUGGUUAAAAUUAAUUUUUGACUUUUAUUUGGAUUUAAAUUUUGAUUUUUAGUAGUACCAAACAAGGUCAAAAUGUUUUUAUCGUUUUCACUCAUUGCACAAAUCGUUUAUAUUAUUUUAAAUUUUAUAUUUAAACCAUCAUUUUAAUUAUUGUGGAAUUCGUCAUUUUCAUCUCAUUUAGCCCCCGUUUGGACUCUUUUUUUCAUAUUAAAAUGAGUGGAAUAGUAUUUUUUGGAGAAUGGUAGUUGAAAAAGAAGAAAUUUUUUUCAAUUUACAUUUAAUAAAAAAUUAUGUGAUUAAAAAUAGAAAAGCGAAAAAUAAAAUUUAAUGUAUUUAGAGUAGUAUUUUUAGGAGAAUGUAUGGUCAAAAAAUAAGGAAAAAUUUUGGGAGAUUUGUAGAAUAUUUUAUUGUGUGAAUAUGUGAUUGAAAAAUGAUCGAAAUAAUGUUAUUCGUAGUGAAGCUAUCAAUAGUCGUUUUACGUAACAUAUACAUGCAAAUUUUUUAUUUGAUAUGUGAAACAAUAAAAAUAAAUAAAUCACAUUAAUGUAUCAGAUAACAAACUAUCAUGUAUAUGUCAUAUAAGAUGGCUACCGGUAGCCAUUACUCAAAUGAUUGUGUAGCAAAACCAUAAAAUAAAUUAAUGGGAUAUAUUACUCUUCAAGUAUUAGUGUGUUACCUAAAAUGUUGAUUUUAUUUUUAUUUUUAUUUUUAUUUUUUUUUAAGAGUAACAUAGUAAGUAUAUGUUUUUCAUAAGAAAUGAUGAUUUUUAAUGAAAUUUUGAUUUUAAAUGACAAUGAGAUAUUUUUUUGAAGAAAUACCGAAGUAGAUAAAUUGUAAAAUAUUGAUUUCUAGCAAAAAAUAAAAAAUAAAAAAAAAAUAUAUAUAUAUAUAUAUAUGUGUGUGUGUAGGCCAAACAGGGACCCAGUAACAUAAAUGUUCUUAUUGGAGCCUAAACAAGGGCUAUAUUACACUAUAAAAAAAAAAUAAGUGCAUGUUUGAUUCUCUUUAGUUGGAGAAUAAAUGUGUUUUGAGUUGUAUUUUUAGGAGAAUGUAUGGUCAAAAAAUAAGGAAAAAUUUUGGGAGAUUUGUAGAAUAUUUUAUUGUGUGAAUAUGUGAUUGAAAAAUGAUCGAAAUAAUGUUAUUCGUAGUGAAGCUAUCAAUAGUCGUUUUACGUAACAUAUACAUGCAAAUUUUUUAUUUGAUAUGUGAAACAAUAAAAAUAAAUAAAUCACAUUAAUGUAUCAGAUAACAAACUAUCAUGUAUAUGUCAUAUAAGAUGGCUACCGGUAGCCAUUACUCAAAUGAUUGUGUAGCAAAACCAUAAAAUAAAUUAAUGGGAUAUAUUACUCUUCAAGUAUUAGUGUGUUACCUAAAAUGUUGAUUUUAUUUUUAUUUUUAUUUUUAUUUUUAUUUUUUUUUAAGAGUAACAUAGUAAGUAUAUGUUUUUCAUAAGAAAUGAUGAUUUUUAAUGAAAUUUUGAUUUUAAAUGACAAUGAGAUAUUUUUUUGAAGAAAUACCGAAGUAGAUAAAUUGUAAAAUAUUGAUUUCUAGCAAAAAAUAAAAAAUAAAAAAAAAAUAUAUAUAUAUAUAUAUAUGUGUGUGUGUGUGUGUGUGUGUGUGUGUGUUUCUUAAAAAAUAGUAAUAGGUUGCAUUUUUCAAUUUUCUGGAGAAAAAUAGUGUUUUUGUCAAGUUAUCCUUCCAAGAAAAUGGUUCCAAAAAAUUGGAAUAAAAAAAGUCGAAAAAUGGCUCCCAAAGAAAUGGAAAAAAAAUCAUAAAAUGGGACGCGCCUUGUGGUUUUUAGUUCUUCGUUUGAUAUUAGACAAUCAAAAGAGAAGUUGGUAGUUAUUUUUUGUGUCUUGACCACAUCUGCAUAGCAUUUUUGAAAAUCUCUCAUGCAGUUGUUUUUCAUGCCUUAUUAAACAUUAACGAUGUGUUUGAUUACAUUUAUUUUCCAUGAAAAAUAUCAGUUUCCACCCAAAUUCCUAUUUGAAGUAUUUGAUUACUAUUUUUUUCCAUGGAAAACAUUUUCCAACUUUUGAAAAUAUGCCUAAUUUUCCUUGUUUUUAAGGAAAACAUUUUUUUUGGGUAGAUGUGGUUUUUAUUUUUCACAAAAGAUGGAAAAUAUUUUCUUUUUUAGGUGAUAUUUUUCAUGUCAAUCAAACACACUCUAAUAUAUCAAGAAACUAUGGAAUUUCAGCAAAAUUGUCGUCCAUUAUUGAGAUAAUUUUUUUUAUAGUACAACUCACUCAAAAUUUUUAAUGGUUACGCUAAUGAUCAUUCGAUCGGAAAUGUUAAUUUAAAAUUCUGUCACUAUAAAUUCCAAUAGGGACAUAAACAAUAUUAACUAGUAUGCAAUGUAAGAUAAAAGUCGUGUCUCAUUAAUAAAUGCAUAAUUGACAAAAAAAACCCUAUUCCCCGCAUUUAUGCUAUUUCAAUAAAUCACGACUUUGUCCUACGAGAUGUACUAUUUAACGGCUUUUGCGUCCAUGAGGGAAUUUUGCAAGUGACUCAUAGAAUUUUAUGUUAAUCGAUGGGGCUUAAAGUCAUUUUCUAUCCUAAACUCGUAGGUAUUGAGAAUUAAUAUCGAACAAAUACGACGAAAACAUUUUCGGUCUCCUCUCACUUUUUACCCUCUUCUAUUUGGUCUUGUAAUGUACAAAAUAUUGGUCUCCGUACUCGUCUACUUUCUUCCUCUCUCAUUAUUUAUCCCGAUGUGUAAAAAUGUGUUGAACUGCCCAGGCUCAACCCAACACGAUAAAAAUGUGCCCUCAUAUUGGGCUCAACUAUAGGAUCCGUGGCAACCAGAUGCAGUGGUGCACACUCAACAAAUGCACCACCAUUUGAUAUAAUAUGAAAUUUUCAACAAAACACAUAAAUAAUGCAAAUAGAAAAUUUAUAUAUACAUGUAAAGUUACCCUGCAGACCAACACAUGUCUACUGCUUUUACAAAGAUCCAAUCUCCAGUAGAUGAUAAAUUCAUCGGUGACACCUAAUAUAUUAUAGAUAUUAUACAUACAUUGCACAAAGCAAAAGGAAUAGAUAUUUUGCCUGUGCAUAGAUAAAGAUUAUAUGCUACAUUCAUUGUUAUUUUUCAAACAGAAUACAUUGUCAUGUUGCUGUAUACUAAGAUUCCUUAUCUCAAGAUAUCGCGUAGAAGAGAUGAUAAAAUGACGAUAGGCCUCUCAUUUGGACCGGCCAUUUUCUGGGAAUGCAGGUUACAGAGUGCAGCCCCUGCCACAUUCCAUACAAAUUUGCAUUUUCCAGGAUCAUUCCGUUUUUUAGCGAAGUCGUAUGUUACGUGAUAGAUAGCAAGGGCCUCCAUCUCAAUUUCUUCAGUUUUUUUCGCACUUUCUUCCAUGUCCGAGGCAUCGUACAACAACUGCAUGCGUUUAAGCAUUUUAAAGUGUCAAGGGUAACUCCCACAUAGAAUAAAGAUGAAAUGGACAAUAUAUGUGGAACCAAACUAGUACUCUUUAACAAGGUUGACUUUUUUUGACAGAGCUCCAAGACUCAAUAUGGUAUCAGCACCUAAUACGCUCAAAUGAGCAAUUUGAUUCACUUAAAGCUUAUUAAAUGAACAGAGUCCAAGGGCUAGGGCUAUUCCUCUAAAAAAGUUGAACUAUUCAGAUGGAAACCCGUAGUUCAACUGAUUUUAAUUUCUUUUGUUUCAACUAUAAUAAAAAGUACCUGCUUGUAUUUUCUGAUCACCUCAUCGGCAGCAGCAUUUUUUGAUUCACCUCUCGAAUUCAAGGCCCGGGUCAUGUCCAUACGAUACUCAUCGUAUCUAUCCUUCCACAUAUUCAAGUACAUUUCUGGGAUUUCAACAUCAAAACAGGGUAGUUUCGAGAUUUCUGCACAACAAGAACCAUGCCAAUUACUCAUUAUAUUCAAGAUCCAAGCCAUGUCACAUUGUUUAAUAGUAAAAAGACCUUGUCUACCGAAGUAUGAUAAAAAGAUUACCAAAGGCAAUAUCUAAAUCCAACAAAUUUAAACUUUGCAUAAAGUUACUUAUGCAGCUUGCCAGGAAUCUAAAAACACGCUCAUAGAACUAAAUUGAUGAUGGUGAUUCAAGGAAUAUUUACCUAUUGUGGGGAAAUGAUCAGUUUUAGAUUCCUCGACUCUAUCAUAAAUUUGACCCAAUAUAGAAGUGGAAUGAUAAGUAAAGCGAGGGCCCCUUUCCAUGUAGUGAGGAUAUGAUUUGGCCUUCAAAUGAUUGGGAACUUUGACCUGGUUCACAAGAGUGAGAAUAGUGGGAUAUUAGUGUACAUGAAAAAAGAAAAAUAUCAUUUAGAAAUAUAGGGUCUGUCAAAAAAAAAAAAAAAAUUGCGUCACCAAACUAACAUUUUUUCCACUUUUAGGUGCAUCUAAAGCAUCAUAAUAUAUGUCAAUUAACUGAAUGAUUUUUCUCCUCAAAUCAUCCUUUUUAAAGGCACUAUCAUCCGACAACAUCAGCAGUUGAUCCAUAUUUGUGAGCCAGCUAUCAGCUGCGGUGGCCAUGUCAUAACUGGAGGAGCAAACCAGAAAAUUUAGUCACAAGAUUAAUCUUGUAUAAAUUACAAAAUUGCUUCACUCUACAAAGAAAAAAUUGCAUACGUUGGCUUCCUUGCUUGUGAGAAGAGCCGAAAAAAUUCCCGUUCUAGUUCCUCCUCUGAGAGCUCCAGGGGAUUUAUCUUAUGCGAGUCCGGAGUCGAAUGAACGCGACUCCAUGGUUCACUUGCUUUGAAAUAUGUCAAUAGCUGAAAUGUUCAUGUGAAAAGAAAUGCUUAAACUAGAACUAAUAUAUUUUGUGUUAAUUUAAAAGAAAAAUAUGAAUUCUCAGCAUAAUCUCAUGCCAUCUUUGCAGAACAAUUCAAGGCAAGAUUUAGCAAUCAUAUAUGGGGAAAAUUUUACGAACACAAACUACUUCAACAAGAAAGAGAAAAAGAGAACAAAAAGAAAGGACAUAUUUAAGAGACAAUCAGAGGUAGCACAUAAUUUAUGUAAUUCCCGAUCAGAUGUAAACUAAGAGAGAAAUCCUUAAACAGGUGCUAACCUCGGGGUUUCUGGAAACCCAAUACAUGUCUCCAUCAAAAUCACCCGUCGCUAUUUCAUAAGCUGCUGAUCUCCCGCCUUUGGUCGAGAAGAAUAUACCAUACUUGGCAUUGCCAACAACCUCUUGCAACUCCUCCACAUAUACCGCGUCUAAAAUGUGGAUGUCUCCAAAAUGUAGUCCAGGAUUUCUGUAUACUAGCACCUUGCCCGAAAUUUGACCACUCUCACUGCAUUUCCAACAAAAUUAUAAUCAAGUUAUUUUCUAUUUAUGAAUUUUUAAUUAUACAAGAGAUUAAUUUGGACGUUCACAAAUCAAAAAGCUAGCUAUCGUUUGAAUAGGCUGAUAGGAAUAUGCAGAGGAUUGUGGUAGUCUAACUUUGCACAUCAACGUUUGGUGAGGGCAGUAGUCACAAAAAGGAAGUCACUACGGUCAUAGAAGGUAAAGGAUGAAUUUCUAGACUCUUUCAUUUUCAAAGACAAACUGCAAAAUCACAUAGAAGAAUUCUCUUCUCAGAAGUGUAAUCUAUAUACAUACAGGAUAACACAGACUUGAUCAUUGUUCAAUCUUCCCGUAGGGUCAGCAGUGCCCAUCACGUAAAAGCUUUCACUGAUUGGUAUCCUCCCUGUUUUAAGCUUCGCCUUGUCAUCCUUUACCAGUCUUGACAAACAUUGUUGGAGAUAUGGCUCAGAGAGAGGAAUCCCAGAUGAUAGCAUUCUUUGGGCCAUAAAACCGUCAUCCAUGCCUUCAUGGUUCGAGGCAACUGCAACAAAACACAUGUUAUAUAAAAAGCAUAAUUAAGCCCUUGUUUGGCCCACAUUAAAAUUAUAAAUCAUUUCUCUCUUCUUAUCAACCACACAUUAUCCAAUAAAAUAAUAUUACGCAUAAACCAAAAAAAUUUACUUCUUUUUCAACCACAUUUUUCAAAAAAAUACUAUUCCAAAAAUUAAAAUGGCAAAUAAUGGGGGCUAGAUAAAAUAAACAUAUAUUUACUGCAUAGUUCUAGUAAUUUUAAGGUUGAAAUAGCUAGGGAGAAAUGAUGAAGUAUAUAGAAAUCAAAUUCACGGUCAAUGUUGCACUAAAUACAUGUGUAGUCAAGAAAACACCGGAAUACUGAAAUUCAGAAAAUCAGUAAAUUGGUAUUAGAACAUACCAAGAAGGGGGAUGAUUACCUUUGAAAAUUUGAACAAUAUAAGCUAGCAAAUGUUAGUUCAAGAAUUACCUCUCAAAGCUGCAAUCCUAUUGGAGUAUACGUUCUGUGCCUCUUCCAAAGAAUGUGUCACUAAAUUCAGAAAGAACUCUCCGGGAACACCACCAUAGCUCAAAAGAGCAAUCAAAUAUUUGGAGAAGAAGGUUCUUCCAGGUUUGUGACUGGAAGGUGAACAUCGAAGAGUCAGGAAAUAUUGACCUUUAUGGAAAAUCCAACUUGACUGAUUGACAGGGCUCUGAUUUUUUCUAUAAUACAACUCAGCGACUUACAAAUAUUCACAUUCUAAACAACUUGUCAAGAUUACAAAUAAAAUAAAUAAAAAAAUAUAAAUAAGAACCUUUUCGGUAUUUUGUCUUGGUUCCAAUUAACCUAAAACAGAAUUCCAAAAUGCUUCAACGGAAUUUGAAUUUAUGGUGUAUCCCCUCAAAAAAAUAUAUAUAAAGAUAAAUAAUCUUUCAAGGUUCUAAUGAGAAGAGAUGAUGAAAAGAUUCUUGAUGAGUAAAACAAGCGCCUGCAACAGUAUGCUAAUUGCAAAUGACAAAGCUAAAUCAGAAAAAGCCAUUUUCACAAUAUCGUGGACCAAAGAACUAAGAAAAAUUAGUGAGAUACCUAACAGCAACUAUCUCCAGUGAAUUAAACGUUCGUCCAACUGGCAAUGUUGGAUCUGUCUCAACCUUUAUCAUUGAAGGUCUUAUCUGAACUAUUCCUGGUUGAAGCUGCAGUAAUUGAGUAUUAAAAAUGUUAGAAGACCAAGAAAAUGAACUCAUAGCUCUCCACAAAAAAACUGAAGCAAUAAAUAGUAAAUCAACUCAUACUUUGGGGAGUAGUGAAUUUAUUAUCAUAAUACAAAUAUUCAACCAGUAAAUACACAUGAAUUUGUGGAAUCAUUUUUUAUUAACAAAUCAAUAGCAGACACUUUAAAUCGAUAUUAUAGUUAAUAUAAGGAUACUUGUAAUUUUAAGUAUUCGGAACCUGUGUUACAUCCUCGAGGGGAAAAUGUAUAUAUAUCCUCUUUCUUGCGCUCUCUAACAAAAUUUAAUUUGCACAACAUUUAAGAAAAGUCAAAUUUAGACUCUGUAAAUUAAUAUGUGAUCUCGUAGUAUUUGUUCCACAGCAUGAUAAAUAUGUUAAGUGGCCAGAUGUAGAAAUCUAGAAUAUAUAUAUACCAUGCGUUUCAGUUAAAAUUAUAUUUCCUAACUGAUGUUUUCCAUGCAUGAAUUCAAGAAGAAAUCGUAAGUGAAUAAAGUAAGAAAGUACCUUCUUAUUUACCAGAAGAGUUCCCUUAACAGCACAACCAUUGUAAAACAACCUAACUUGCAUCAAUAAAGGCUGAAAGAAGGAAAUAAAGAUAUCAUCUUACAAUGCAAUAAUAAUACAUAUAAUUGAUGAAUAAACAGUUUCUUACAUAGAGAGAAAAAUGGAAGAAUUAAAUAGAAAAACGUUACCGGUUCCCUAUUCCCAGCUUUUGUUCCUUUUUGUUGACGUGAUACAUCCUCAAAAUCACAAAUCUUCUAAAAAAAUACAAAAUAGUAGGAAACUAUAUGAAAGAGCAUGUUUGGGAAGUGUUCAUAAAUUGUUUAAAUUAUAAACAUAUAAAAAUGAGUGGUACAAGGUAGUACUUAUGGGUCCUCUUGAAAUGUGUGGAUGAAAAACAACUUAACAGUGUUCAUAUAAACAUGAGCCAAACAUAGGCAAAAUCAAACGUUCAAGAGCUUAUUAAAUAAAAAUGCAAGAUGCAUCGGUAAAACUUAGACCAUUUUGAUAACCAAGCACCACGCUAUUGGACCAAGUUGGUAUUAGAAAUAUUACACGCUAUUAUUGUCAAUAAUAAGCAAACUUUAGUCAUUGAACAUACUCAUAGGUUACACCAACGCAAAAUUUCUUGUAUAUUCUUUAAACUUUAGCCUCUUGUACUAAAAUUAUCAAUCAUUCUUCUUCUCCUGAUCAUUCAUGUUUGGGUAUACUUACAAAAUAGAGGUUGGGAACAAGAUUACUACGAAGGUAAAAGGUUAGGGUCCACGCUUAUUUUACAUUUUUGUUUAACUAGAGCAAUGCCUUCCAACUUCAUUAAUCAUUUUUCAAGAGACAAAUGGAGGAGACUGAGGGCUGUGCACCAACAUAGCUAAUGUCUUGGUUUGACUUAGUACAUGUAUUCACAUAUGUCUUUGAAUGGUAUUUCUAGCAUUUUUAACUGAUAUAUCAGAAACCUCACAAAAAUUACUUUCUUUUUCAAGAGAGUUUACGAAACUAAUGAAAGUCUUUGCUUUAAAAAAAUGGACAUCAAUUUAAACAUCGUGAAAAGAAAACAAAGACAUCUAAUUCAGGUCAAAGUAAGAUAUGAAGGGGCUAGAAAAAUAUCCAACAGGUGCUUCAUACUAGAAAGAGAAAAAAGAUUAACCAGAAGAUCUUCAUCCUUCAUAUAUUUAGCUCUGCAUAGAUCUUUUGGACACUGCAUGGCUAGAUUUUCAGAGAUGUAGCCAGUUCCAUCAGUAUGUAAAAGAGGCUUCCCAUCUUCAUCAAAGAUAACAGAGUCAUUCUCAUCCUGAAGCAGGAAGAUAUAAAGAUAACAUAAUUAGUGCCAAAAUCAUGUGAAGUCUAGUAGCAGCAAGGGGAGCCAGCAAAAGAAAUAUUUUCUACUAGGAAAGGUAUAUCUUCAAUUCUCUGAAUUUCAACAGCAUCAAGAUCAACUUGAAGCUUUAUGGUCUUCGACAGGAUCAAAGAAAAUCUGAGCCAUGCAACAAUGGUAAACAUCAAUAUUCAACAAAGGAUCAUUUAUAGAUAAAUUGUGACCAAAAAACAAAAAUAAAAAAUAAAAAUCGAUAGUGAUAUCAACCUGGCCAUGCACUUUUCUAUUGAUGAAACUGUGUGUAUGUGCAUAAAAAGGCGUCUUAGUUCACUGAUCUUUUUACCAGACAAUUCAACAAAGUAGCAUUUAAGAUCAGAAUCAGUGGAUUUUUUCUCUUCCUUAAUUGAGGUUUUCUUCUUCCGUUUGCGCUCAUCCUUGAAUACUAUUCAAAAGCUAUAAUCAGUACUAUAUACACUAACAAGAUACAAAGAUGUAAACUCAUGAGCAAUCAACCUUCCCUAGAUGGCAAAAAUAAUAGAACAAAGAAAAGCUAGAUGUACCUAAAUAGCAUGACAGUAAACGGAAUUUCAGUGAAGGAAAACGAUUAAGAAAAAUCACCAAAAAAUCGGAAGCGCCUCAAACCAACAAGAAUUCCUUCCUUGUCUGUACCACACAUGCCAUCUCCUAGAAACUUGACAGUCAUAACAUUAUGCUCUCCUAAUGACCUUUGCAUGUGAGUAUUGGGCACGCUCAAAUAUGGACCCUGAUUUGAAAGAAAUUUUUGUGAAUUCCUGUACUGGGACAGUAUCUGAAAUGCUAUACAUGCUUGGUGGAGUCAUACUGAUUACUGACGAAAGAUUACAGAAGCUGGUUUUUGUGACUUAGCAUAAAGUUUAUCAAGGAGUAAAGAAACAACUCAAAUGACUCCACAUGAAUUUAAGAUAGAUUGAUACAAACCUUAAACUGUAAACUCCCAUCUUGAUUAACAUAACAAUUGUAGGAAUGAGUCUUCCCACAAUCCCAGUCAGAAUACUACAACAUAAAGAUAAGAAGUCAAAAAAUGGUAAGAGGAAUAGUAACAACACUCUGACGCAAAACUGGCUAAGUUAGCAAAGUUACAAUAGAGUGAACCAAAAAUAUUUUGAACUUAUAAAAUUGGCAUCAAAACCUGAUGAUGAAUUUUUAAGAAAUCCAUUACCCAACAAGAAGCAAAUUCUUAUGACAAAUAAAUGAAUAUUUUCGCCAUUAUGUUUGAACUGGAAAGACCUAUUCUAAAAAAUUCAGCAAGAUCCACUUGUUUGCAAUUGCAUCAUGUUGAGAUAAUUUUGAUCUAUGGAUAACUCUUCAACUCUUGUAGGUUGUUCUAUUAGAAUUGUUCACACACUUGUCAAUGGGUCUGUGCAUGGAUUAAUUUACAACACAAAUAUAUGAUACUGAUUAUUAGUUUCAACAUAACUACAAGAAGGAAACUAUGAAGAAAUACACUACAAUGUAAAGAGGAACAAUUAAGAUGUGUAACUGACCUCGCUUCGAUCUGACUUUUCAUAGAAGAGCCUCCCAUAGGAAUCCCAAAUUUUAGACUCGAAAUAUGUCAUCGGCCUGUCCUUCAUACUUAAAAUGUCAUUCACGUCAUCCAGAGUCAUCACAGUUUCCAAUUUUUUACUACAAAAUAAAUCAGAUGCCAUUAAUUAAAGAUUGCUGCGAUGAAUUAAAAAAAAGUAUUGAAUUAGAAUAUCAGGGACAACUAACCUUCCAAUGUAACUAAGUACUAAAAAUAAUCUCCUAAAUUCUAGCUUAUUUAGGAUCUGUAGUAGAGAACGGGUCCUCUCACUAAUUUCACUGGCAAACUGGCAAUUGGAUUUCUGAGGGCUUGUCCUCUCUUCAGCUUCAUGUUUGUACAAAAGCUGGCCUUUGGUUGUUCGAGGGACUGCCUUCUCCCGACUUGAUGAGGGAGAGUUCACUAGAUACAUUGCUGUCUGACCCUGUGAGCUUUCACCAUCUGCCCGUGGAGGAAACCUUUGUUACAAUGGUGCAGAAAUGUGGGGAAUACAAAGAGGUUUGGGACACACGGCAAUAACAAAAGAAGCAGGGAAGAAAGCUCAGAAUUCGAUAGUCAGAAAUGUCUCACAAAAUACUAUUAUCAUGGAGAGAGAAGUUCACUUGAGCUAAAUAGAAAUGAGAAAAAAAUGUAAAUUAAGAGGAAACAAACCAGAACAUAAACACUAUCUUUUUAUUGGCAUAUACGAAGAAAUAAUCAUCAUAUCAGCUCCCAGUUAAUGUAAAAUAUAAAGAAAGGUAAUAAAUUCCAAAUUCUAACUGAUUCGGGCUUAUAUCAAUGCUAUCUCAAGCCACAAGUUACCAAUAUUUUUUCAUGACGUUUAAUCUCUGGAUGUGAAUUAAAAUUUUAUUGCUUUUGAAGCUAGAGUCUUAUUGCAAUGCUAUACAACGAAUCCAAAAUAUUUCUCCAUACUCCAGGCCCCAAUAAUCUUCCUAUAGCAUGAAAAUUCCGUAAAUUUGAUACUUUUUAGCUUCAUCUAGUUAAAUGUCAAGAGGGAGUGGAAUAACUUAAUAUUUUUAUUUGGUAAGAAUUCCUAGUGCACACAAGUCUACUGAUAAACCAAAGACUUCAAUUCACAAUAUCAGUUGGUUAAGAAUCCUACACAAAUUUAACCCAACAGGCUAGCCUAUUCUUACAGUCAGAGGCAGUUAAAAAUUAAAUUACUAAUUUGGAGCCUAAUUAUCACUCAAAAUUCAUUCUCUUUGAGCUUAAUUUAUUAUAUAUUCAAAAUAAAGGUUCCUACCGAGUUCCUUUCAUAGUAGGAGCAAAAAGGGGGGGGGGGGGGGGGGGGGGGGGGGGGGGGAAUCCAAAUGGCGUGUACAUGCAUUAUCCUUUACACAACAAAAUAGGAACUUGAAGCUCCACAGAAACUUAUUUAGGGCCAAUUAGGCAGGUUUCUCCGUUUGCUUCUGCUUCUUGUAGGAAAUAUCACCUUUAAAAUCUCUCCUAAUCAGAAAUAUACAAAAGCAGCUUUGACUUUUCAAAAAUCUAGCCAAGUGGGCAUUAAAACACUUGGAAAUGAAAGAAAACUUGAGACCAUCUCCAAACAUGCAUUAAAUUUUGCACAAUUUUACAUCAAACUAAAAUUUAUCUUCAACCAUUACACCAAAUGAACAGUGUUUAACCAUUUUUUUUCAAUUUUUUUAUUCUUUAUAAUUUAUUUAUUUAAAAUAUUAUUUAUUUAAUUAUUUCAUAAAUACAAAAAUUACUAAAUAAAUAAUUAAGUUAAAUUACGAAAAAAAUUAAAUUCAUUAAUAAAUAUUAAAAACAUAGAACAAUUAAUAAAAAUACUAUAACAAUGGAAAUAUGAAAUCAUGUCAUCAGAAAAUAGUACAAUACAUUUCGAAUUUGGAUAGACGACAUUACGAAGUCGCUAAAUUUUUGCAAUUUAAUUUUCAGAAUUCAUAUGUUCAUCCCACAAAUGAUCGAUUAAUGCAUUUCGAAGUGCAAUGUGAGUUUUUUUAUCCUUGAUUUGUCUAUGACGAGCAAGGAAUUCCUGAAAAUGUCGAUUUUCGUCUUUAACUAACUCAACUUUUGGACUUGACGCUUCCGUCCAUUCUUGAACUGGUGCAUCAACAUUACGUUCGUCCUCGAUAAUCAUGUUAUGCAUUAUUAUAUAUGUAGUCAUGAUAUCAUGUAAUACUUGUUUUUCCCAAAACCUUGCGGGUCCUUUCGUUACUGCAAACUUCGAUUGUAGAACACCAAAUGCACGUUCACCAUCUUUUCUACAAGCUUCUUGUUUGAUAGCAAAUAACUUUUUUUUUGGGACCAUGCGGUUCAUGAAUUGUUUGCACAAUGGUAGACCAUUUUGGUUAUAUACUAUCAACUAGAUAGUAACCCACGUUAUAUUGUCUUCCUUGAAUGAUGUAUUGAGCUGGAGGAGUAAUUAGAUUAUCGCAUGUAUGUCGCUAUUUAAUAUAUUUCGUGUUAACUUUAAUAAAUAAUCGUGUUUGAUGUAUUUUAAAUUGUUUUCGUCUUUUAAUUAAUUUAUUAAUUAUUAUGUCUUACAUUUAAAAUUUAUUUUAAAUAGGUGAAGAAGAUAUCCUCAUCAGAACAUCAAUAGACGCCUUUUCGCCUAUAGCAGCAAGGUAACUUCUGGCAUAGCUUUUCACCGGCGGCUGGGAUUGUUCAUGGCAGAUCCUUUCAAUGAUCAUUUCCACUUUGUCUGGUAGAGGAAUUUCUUGAGGCCCUUCCAUUUCGGUUGAAUCUGUUCUGUGGGAGAAUUUGUGCUAUCGAGAUGGGAGAAAGUGAGAGACAGUUGAAGAGCGUGGGAGUUUGUAUAAGAAAAGCUCGUGAAUUUACAUGGAGUUUCCCGCUUUUAAGCUGGUAAUCAUACCCUGUUCGAUAUUUUUAUUUUCAAAUUUUUUUCUACGAGUGCAUUUCAGAACAAUAGAUUAAUGAAAAACAAAAAUAUAACGAAAAAUUUUGAAUUUGUUUUUCAUAUUAUUCUUUUUUUUAUUUAAAACAAGAAAGAGAAAAAAUAAUCUUUC